Molecule: ribosomal RNA, 434 nt
Filed under: uncultured bacterium
Lineage: Bacteria
Description: partial 16S ribosomal RNA
Rfam family: Bacterial small subunit ribosomal RNA
Source: RNAcentral
AGCGAACGCUGGCGGCAGGCCUAACACAUGCAAGUCGAACGAACCUUUCGGGGUUAGUGGCGGACGGGUGAGUAACACGUGGGAACGUGCCUUUAGGUUCGGAAUAACUCAGGGAAACUUGUGCUAAUACCGAAUGUGUCCUUCGGGGGAAAGAUUCAUCGCCUUUAGAGCGGCCCGCGUCUGAUUAGCUAGUUGGUUGAGGUAAUGGCUCACCAAGGCGACGAUCAGUAGCUGGUCUGAGAGGAUGAUCAGCCACAUUGGGACUGAGACACGGCCCAAACUCCUACGGGAGGCAGCAGUGGGGAAUCUUGCGCAAUGGGCGAAAGCCUGACGCAGCCAUGCCGCGUGAAUGAUGAAGGUCUUAGGAUUGUAAAAUUCUUUCACCGGGGACGAUAAUGACGGUACCCGGAGAAGAAGCCCCGGCUAACUUCGUG